Molecule: long non-coding RNA, 634 nt
Filed under: Panax ginseng (ginseng)
Lineage: Eukaryota; Viridiplantae; Streptophyta; Magnoliopsida; Apiales; Araliaceae
Description: long non-coding RNA (PGIN_LNC012890)
Source: RNAcentral
UGUAGUACCAGACAUUGAGUCAGACGAUGCAGAGCCCACGGAGGACAUUGAUACCUAUAUCAGGGAGGAGCCCGCUGCUGGGUUGCCAGCAUUUCUUUCAGAUUCUCCUAAUAUUAGUACUUUCGUGAUUCAGCACUCGGCACAAUACUUAGAGCAGAGUCUUCAUCUGAUGACCUUUGAGAGAGACCAGAUUCGAUCUAUGAUGUCGACUGCUCUUGAUGUGAGGGAUGCCGCUCUAUUGGAGAGAGACGAGGCAUUGCUCGUAGAGAUGCCUCUAUUGCUGAGUGUGAUGAGGCCAGGUCAGCCAUAGACGCAGUUAUAGUUGAGCGGGAUGUAGCCAUCAUAGAUAGUACUGCAGUGAGGUCCCUUACCACUGGUAUGAUCGCGGAGAAGAGCGCUUAUAUUGAUGACCAUAUGGUCAUCAUGCAGAUGGCUACAAAACUGUUGGGUCGUGUGGAUAUUCUUAUACAGGAGACCACAGCUUCCCCUCCAUCUUCGGAGAGGGACGCCAUGUUGGGCUUCUUAGCACGCAUAUACCCUGAUUUGUAGAUGAGCUUGUAUUUACCUGCACAGACUAGCUUAGCCAUUUUUUCAUGUACAGUUUACAUUGUAUAUAUAUCAAAUAGCAUUAUAU